Non-coding RNA from Paramuricea clavata, 456 nucleotides. Lineage: Eukaryota; Metazoa; Cnidaria; Anthozoa; Malacalcyonacea; Plexauridae. The record is from the annotation of a GenBank genome assembly.
AAACACGAUCAACUUUGGUGUUUAUGCAUAGACGGAUUUUCAUAUUUAUUACUGGGGUGGUGCCAGAAAUUUUAGGGGGGUGAGCCGUGAGCAGGUGACUGAAGCAGCACAAAGUGUCACCAAACCCCAGUAAGGUCUAUAUAGAUUCUAGGGGUGGAGCACUAGAGCCGCGAGGGGGAGUCUAGAGAGCGGAAAACAAAGUAUCCCAGCAAAAAUUUGAAAAAAAUCAUGAUUUCUAGCUUCGAAAAAAGUUUUUUGAUGUGGUCAAUUUGUCAUAUCAAUGGAUUUGGCAUGUUCGAUUGUCUGUUGAGACUUGAGAGAGUUGAAAUGAACCUGUAAAAGUGUAAACCCAAUAGGCCAAUACACAAUAUGCUUUUACUUUUAUAAAGUCAUUGACAUUGUGUUGUUUGAAUCCGAGUACAAUUUAUGAUGCAACUCCGAUGUAAAUAAUAUUUG